This 252-nucleotide ribosomal RNA is filed under the name uncultured bacterium. Its description in RNAcentral is "partial 16S ribosomal RNA". It matches the Rfam family "Bacterial small subunit ribosomal RNA", at positions 524 to 776 of the family's 1533-position model. The record is from RNAcentral.
UACGUAGGGGGCAAGCGUUGUCCGGAAUUAUUGGGCGUAAAGCGCGCGCAGGCGGCUGUUUAAGUCUGGUGUUUAAGCCCGGGGCUCAACCCCGGUUCGCACUGGAAACUGGAUGGCUUGAGUGCAGAAGAGGAGAGUGGAAUUCCACGUGUAGCGGUGAAAUGCGUAGAGAUGUGGAGGAACACCAGUGGCGAAGGCGGCUUUUUGGUCUGUAACUGACGCUGAGGCGCGAAAGCGUGGGGAGCAAACAGG